GCUGUUUAUGACGUCUUUACACUAAAUCCAUUGGAUGAUGGAUGUGUGCGGACUGAUAGUUUAGUCUUAGUUGCAUGAUUUUUUUAUUAGUUGUUAGUGGCUUUGAACUAGCUGUCAGAUAACGGCGAGUACUCUCAGAUCUGUUCAAUGUGUCUUUUUGUGUUGGGAUGUGUAAGUACCGGGCCACGUCCACAUGUAUUUUUGUCCAUCUGAUAAGUUAAGCCUUUUUCAACUGAUUUUUAUAGUUCGUUCUUAUGUUGUACUGUUAUACCACUGUCCCAGUUUAGGGGAGGGUUGGGAUCCCGCUAACAUGUUUAACCCCGCCACAUUAUUUAUGUAUGUGCCUGUCCCAAGUCAGGAGCCUGUAAUUCAGUGGUUGUCGUUUGUUUAUGUGUUACAUAUUUGUUUUUCGUUCAUUUUUUUUACAUAAAUAAAGCCGUUAGUUUUCUCGUUUGAAUUGUUUUACAUUUUCUUAUCGGGGCCUUUUAUAGCUGACUAUGCGGUAUGGGCUUUGCUCAUUGUUGAAGGCCCUACGGUGACCUAUAGUUGUUAAUGUCUGUGUCAUUUUGGUCUUUUGUGGAUAGUUG
This 587-nucleotide long non-coding RNA is filed under the name Mytilus galloprovincialis (Mediterranean mussel). The record is from RNAcentral. Lineage: Eukaryota; Metazoa; Mollusca; Bivalvia; Mytilida; Mytilidae.